AACGCCAAAAAGAAAAGAAAAAAAUAUAUACAUAUAUAUAUAUAAAGAAAAUUUAAUAAAACAGGGGAAAACCAAGGAACACUUGAAUUACUCAGGUUUCGGACAUUCAGAGACACGAAUUGUGAGAACAGCAAAGGAAAUCGGAAAAGAGAGAGGCAUAUGUCUCCUAGGCUUUCCUGCAGCCCUGCCGGACCGACCGACCGACUGGGGUCUGGGGUCUGGGGUGUGUUUGGACCAGUUGCCAUGGGAGGCCAAUCCUGUUUACCUCAUACAUCUCUGCACUGUGUGUUUUCAUUUUUGUCUGUUUUUUUUUUUUUUUUUUUUUUUUUUUUUUUGCCUUUUUUUUUUUUCCCAUUCAUCACACACCACACCCAGCUCCUUGUGUUGAAUGAAACCCCUGAGCCACGAUCAGUAGAGUUUUUUUUCUCGUUGCUUUUUGGGAACUUUUUUUUUUUUUUUUUUUUUAAGAAACAGUGAUACUCAAACUCUAUAGGGUUUUUAAGAGGUUUCGGGGUUUUGUUUUGUAAAUAAUCUAUUUUAUUCUUGGGGGAGGAAUCAAACCUUAGGAAAAGGAUAUAUAUAUAUAUAUAUAUAUCUAUAUAUUUGUGUUCAUUCAGGGAAACUGGACUUGAAAAUGCAAAAAAAAAAAAAAAAAGAAAAGAAAAGUAAUACCCUUUUUAUUUUCCCAUAACUGAUUCGGGUUCCUUGUGCGUUUCCUGUAGCGCAGUGGGCAGCUGGCAGGCCCAGAGCCAGGAGAGGUGAUGAACUCAGGUGCUACGGGGGGUGGGGGGUGGGGGCGGGCAUGAAUUCAGACCGGUGACCGGCGAGGCGACCGUGACAUCCGUGGUCCUGUCUGUUCGCUGUGCUUUUCGUGCUGGCGCUGCAGAGGCCGGAAGUCUUAAGUGGAAAGCGCAGGGUGAAGGACCUCGGCGUGGGAGGGGGCUCCCUCCACCUGUCCAGUCCCCGGGCUCCUGUCUCAGGGAUCAAUGUGGCCUGGGGGCUCCCGAGUGAAAGGGCUACUCCGGGAGAUUAUCCAUACUGGGGACGGGGUGAGCCGGGCUUAGCUCAGGGCGAGGUUUUUGGGGCCACGGCAUCCUGAACCCCCCCCCCACCAAUUCUCUUCUCCUUAACUGUCGCCUUUUUCUCUCUUGGCCCCUUUUGCUUGGGGCCACACCUCCCUGCAGGAACUAAAGUAACUGAAUGGAGACCACACCAGGUCCCCACACGCCCCGUCCUCCUGGUUAGAAGGUGGGUGUCGGCAGGGGGGGCACCGCUGGAGGGAGGGGGCUAUUGCAGUGGCUGGUGAUGGGCCUCAGGAGGCGGCAGUGUCUGCCCCAGGCGGGUCUGGGGACUUUCUUGGCUGCCCUGCCGUCCCGUGUCCCCGUGGACCAGGUGGUGUUGGGUAGUGUUUUCACACGGUGCGGGAUUUUCGUUUGGGGAGGGGGUGGCUGGGCUGUUCCCGGGGCGAGGCUGUACUCUCUACUUGGGCUCAGGAGCCCAGCUUCAGGAGGCUGAGGGGCAGUGCCAGCCUGGCGGCCUCCCAGCUUCCCCCACCCAGGCAUCACCCUGUAGCCUUGGAGACCUGAGGGCAGGGGGAGGUCCUGAGCCCCCCAGGUCUGGGUUUUCUGUUAUGUGGGGCUUUGGUGUGUGUUUGGAAGGCAACCCCUUUCUUUGGGAUAUCUCAGGGUCGUUGACACCCCCACACCCCACCCUUUCAGGAGUGGGUGGCAGGAGUGGGGUUUCCUCUCUGCUUUUCCUUCUAGAAGGUUCUGCCCUUCCCGUCUGUCACUGCAGCAGCACAAUCAUUGUGGGAGGGGGAUCCCUUGUCCCCGGGCACAGUCGGGCUCCACGCGAGAACCUGGGAGCCCCUGCCCCUUCUCUCCUCCCUCCCCGAACUGCCCCGUGGGCGCCCUGGGCCCACGUGGGGGGGGGGGUCUGCAGCGCUUUCUUCCUACCUCAGGUCUGACUCUUGAUGCCAAAACCCGUGCCCGGGCCUGGCCCUCUGCGGCUGGCCCAGGGUCUCCGCAGGGACGUGCACCUGUCCCCUCGACUCCCCCCCACCCCCGCCCGUGGGGCCCCUCCCCCUGGAAAGCCUGUGCGCCCGCUUUGUUCGUGCGUGUGCCGUGUGUCCACGUGUGUCUUGUGGGUGGUGUGGCCUCCCGGAUGUAACGCAGGGUGUGGCCCGCUGUUCCAGUGGUGACUGUAGGGACAGGUGGGGGCGGGGCUUGGGCGGGGCUCGGGGCCGGGUCCCACCCUCCAGGCCACAGCCGGGGCGGCAGUGGGCCUGCGAGCCGGUGGGGCCCUCCCCUGCCUCUGCCUUAGGUGCCCGCGUUCAGCCCCCUGCCACUGCGGUCUCUGGGCUUAGGGAAGGGGAGGCUUUCUGGGGUGCGGAUGGGCACCCCCUUAUGCAAACCCGGGUGGGGAUGGGGGCGGCUGUGUCCUGGCUGGUGCACUGUUCGUUCCAGAGCGGGUGGACCCCAGACUCAGGGCGGAGAGGGGCUCCCUGCGGCUGUCUUGCUGGAGGUGUUGCUUCUAGAAUCUUCCGUGCGCCCACCCCCGAGCUGGGGGCUGGGCUCUCUGGGGGCGGGCAGGCGCGGUAGUCUCCAUUCCUCUGCAUUUGUAAACCCAUUUUCACUGUAUCACUUUUGCCCACUGUCUCCUUUUUUCCCCCUUAACUUUGCUUCUGCGUUUUUUCUUGGCAAACAUGAAUUCAGCCUUUCAUUCCUGACAGAAAUUUCAGUUUCUCUGGGGUUUGUCAGACGGCGUGGGUACCGCGCCAGGACUCAGGUUAAAGUGAAAAAAACUUCCAAAAAAAAAAAAAAAAAAAGGUUUAAAACGACUCUACCUCUGGCCGGGCCCGGCCUGUCGCGCCCUGGUAAGACUUCAGUGUUUGCAGAACAUUCAGGUAUUAAAAGGGAAAAAAAAAAAAAAAAAAAAAAAAGGAAAGAAAGAAAAAAAAGGUGUGUGAUUUUGAAAUUUAAAAGAACACUGAAAGUUUACAUUUUAUAACAUUAUUAUGCAGAUUGUAUUUAAACUUCAAAAAUAUUUAAGACAAUUGUAACCCUGUAAAGCUGAUGAGGUAUUAAAACAAGACAAAACACU
This 3102-nucleotide long non-coding RNA is filed under the name Lynx pardinus (Iberian lynx). The record is from RNAcentral. Lineage: Eukaryota; Metazoa; Chordata; Mammalia; Carnivora; Felidae.